AGCGAACGUUAGCGGCAGGCCUAACACAUGCAAGUCGCACGAGAAUCCGGCUUCGGCCGGUAGUAAAGUGGCGGACGGGUGAGUAACACGUGGAUAAUCUGCCCUUCGGCGGGGGACGAACAGUCCGAAAGGAUUGCUAAUACCGCAUACGUCGGCGAGGUCUUCGGAUCUUGUCGGGAAAGAUGGCCUCUUCAUGAAAGCUAUCACCGAAGGAUGAGUCCGCGUCCCAUCAGCUAGUUGGCGGGGUAA
This 249-nucleotide ribosomal RNA is filed under the name uncultured bacterium. RNAcentral's name for it is "partial 16S ribosomal RNA". It matches the Rfam family "Bacterial small subunit ribosomal RNA", at positions 29 to 260 of the family's 1533-position model. The record is from RNAcentral.